AACGAACGCUGGCGGCGUGGCUAAGGCAUGCAAGUCGUACGGGAUGCCUGAGUAGCAAUACAAGGGUAUUCAGUGGCGGACGGGUGAGUAAUGCAUAGGUAACGUGCCUCGGACUUCGGGAUAGCGUCGGGCCCGCAAGGGUCCUUUGCGAAAGUGACGGUAAUACCGAAUGAUAUCGUUGGAAUCGCAUGGUUCUACGAUCAAAGGUGGGGACCGCAAGGCCUACUGGUCCAAGAUCGGCCUAUGUCCUAUCAGCUUGUUGGUGAGGUAACGGCUCACCAAGGCUUUGACGGGUAGCCGGCGUGAGAGCGCGACCGGCCACAUCGGAACUGAGACACUGUCCGGACACCUACGGGUGGCUGCAGCAACGAAUAUUCCGCAAUGGGCGCAAGCCUGACGGAGCGACGCCGCGUGAAGGAUG
This 421-nucleotide ribosomal RNA is filed under the name uncultured bacterium. Its description in RNAcentral is "bacterial SSU rRNA". It matches the Rfam family "Bacterial small subunit ribosomal RNA", at positions 29 to 410 of the family's 1533-position model. The record is from RNAcentral.